AAUCUAUCGUGCCAACACCGCGAACUUACUUAUGCCCUCCUGUUAUAGGCAUGCUCAAAAGGCGUGCCUAGAUGGGUGCGUAASSCAGGGGCAGGCAUCUUAUGGUGUCAGUUAGCCUGGCUGGGCGGGUCCAACACCAAUCGGGGCCUUUUGCCUUUCAGGCAAAGGGACUCGCUCGGUUGUGAGGGGUGGCUGUUUAACUUACUUCCAAUCAAUUUUUCUGAAGACAGUUCUACUGGCUGGCUUUGCCGGCUGUAGUCUGACUAACUAUGGAC
RNAcentral lists this ribosomal RNA (275 nucleotides) under Trebouxia usneae. Lineage: Eukaryota; Viridiplantae; Chlorophyta; Trebouxiophyceae; Trebouxiales; Trebouxiaceae. The record is from RNAcentral.